RNAcentral lists this ribosomal RNA (301 nucleotides) under uncultured bacterium. RNAcentral's name for it is "partial 16S ribosomal RNA". It matches the Rfam family "Bacterial small subunit ribosomal RNA", at positions 509 to 809 of the family's 1533-position model. The record is from RNAcentral.
CAGUAGCCGCGGUAAUACGUAGGUGGCAAGCGUUGUCCGGAAUUAUUGGGCGUAAAGGGCUCGCAGGCGGUUUCUUAAGUCUGAUGUGAAAGCCCCCGGCUCAACCGGGGAGGGUCAUUGGAAACUGGGAAUCUUGAGUGCAGAAGAGGAGAGUGGAAUUCCACGUGUAGCGGUGAAAUGCGUAGAGAUGUGGAGGAACACCAGUGGCGAAGGCGACUCUCUGGUCUGUAACUGACGCUGAGGAGCGAAAGCGUGGGGAGCGAACAGGAUUAGAUACCCCAGUAGUCCCUGUCUCUUAUAA